This 1362-nucleotide long non-coding RNA is filed under the name Chinchilla lanigera (long-tailed chinchilla). RNAcentral's name for it is "lncRNA (ENSCLAG00000024705.1)". Lineage: Eukaryota; Metazoa; Chordata; Mammalia; Rodentia; Chinchillidae. The record is from RNAcentral.
UGCUGGGGCCCACUGAGCUUGGGAUCCUCGGAGCAGAAGCCAUCCGAGGACAGAGAGCAGAUGGUAGCUGCAGGGCCGGGGCAGCUGGGUGCGGAUGCAGGAGGCCGUGGGGGAAGCUGCCUUUGCCCCUGCCACAGAUUAACCUGAGAGAGACCAGUGCCAGGAAAAGGGAUGUGGACGUUCAGGGAGGAGCACCCACUGGAGCAUCAGGAGGGUGUGGGGAGGGAAGACUCUGGAGCUGGAUGUCCUUGAAGGGUGGUGAUGCUGGAGAUUAGUCCCCUGCCACCCCACUGCCCGAGAGCAGACCAACUAAGGUCCUUCUGCCCAGAGAGCCUCCCCACACCGCUCCAUCUGCCUGGUGAGUCACCCACGCUUCACCACCCUCGCCAAGAGAUCCAAGCUGAGCACCUUGUAUGUCUCCCUAUCAUCGCACUUAAUGGAUAUGUUCGGCCUCCCAGUGGACCAGCGUGUCCCUGGGCCCCAGGACUCUUUCUUACUUAUCUCCACGUGGAGCUCCCAGAACAGGUUUGGGCACAGUGGGUGGGAACGAGGGAAGCCUCUGGGUGUCAGCUGAGCCUGAGACACAUGGAAGAUCACGUCCAGAUGCAUGGGUGUGCACGGUAUACACGCACCUUGACCAAAAGAAGUCAUUGUGCCAUUUGCUGAUGUACAAUGGAUGGCCCUAAAACUGAGUUGCUUGAAACGGUGGCAAUGUAUCAUUUCUCUUGAUUCCAGGGGUUGACUGGGCCCUGCCAGGGAGUUCUGGCGCCAUGGCGUGCUGAAGUCACUCAUGGGCGGCACUCAGCUGGGAGCGCAGCUGGGGCUGAAGCCUCUCAUUCUUGGGUCUUCCUCUCCACGGCUGAUCAUCAUUCUGCAUUCUGCCUGAGCGACUUCAUAGCUCGGCUUCUGGCUUUCUGGAGGAGCAUGCCAAGAGGGCAGGUCUUAGUGCACGAGCGCUUCCCAGGUCUUUUUUUUUUUUUUUUUUUUUUUUUUUUCAUAUUUACUAAUGUUGCACUGGCCAAAGGGUAUGGCUCACUAAGGCCAUCAGGGGAACUGUUGGCUGUGUCUCUGUACCCUGGUCCUGAGUACAGUUUAGCUCCCUCCCUGCCUGCCAAAGUUAUUCUAAAGAACUUUGGGUGGGCAUUGAUCUACUCUGGUCCAGGUGGGGCUUGUCUCAGUCAUCAAGGCUGGCCUUGAAGGUGGGAUAGGAGGGAGACAUCCACACCUGAUCUCUCUGUGUUGGACACGACCCUCACCCCUCUGAAGGCUGGGUCUUAGGAAGGGUCCCCUCUCAUGGGACAGCUAUCACCAGAGACGGGGCAGUGGAAGAGGGAAUGGUGUUCUUUGUUUUCUACCAACAAA